GGAGUGGACCAGGCGACCGCUGUGCGGCCUCGCAACUGGCCGCACAGAGGAAAGUCCGGGCUCCACAGGGCAGGGUGGUGGGUAACGCCCACCGUCCGUGAGGACAGGGAAAGUGCCACAGAGAACAGACCGCCGAUCGGGAGACUCCGUCUCCAGGAGGCAAGGGUGAAACGGUGCGGUAAGAGCGCACCAGCAGGUCGGGUGACCGGCCUGGCUCGGCAAACCCCACCCGGAGCAAGACCAAAUAGGGAGGAACGCGGCAUUCCGCCGCUCCGGAUUGGCCCGAUCCGGCGACUCCCGGGUAGGUCGCACAAGGCGGCGAGCAAUCGUCGUCUCAGAUAAAUGGUCGCCCUCGACAGAACCCGGCUUAUCGGUCCACUCCGCAU
RNAcentral lists this RNase P RNA (386 nucleotides) under Planctomycetota bacterium. Its description in RNAcentral is "Planctomycetes bacterium RNase P RNA component class A". It matches the Rfam family "Bacterial RNase P class A". Rfam says of the family: Ribonuclease P (RNase P) is a ubiquitous endoribonuclease, found in archaea, bacteria and eukarya as well as chloroplasts and mitochondria. Lineage: Bacteria; Pseudomonadati; Planctomycetota. The record is from RNAcentral.